Molecule: ribosomal RNA, 261 nt
Filed under: uncultured archaeon
Lineage: Archaea
Description: partial 16S ribosomal RNA
Rfam family: Archaeal small subunit ribosomal RNA
Source: RNAcentral
CAGCCGUAAACAAUGUGCGUUAGGUGUGUCGGUAACCACGCGUUACUGAUGCGCCGAAGAGAAAUCGUGAAACGCACCACCUGGGAAGUACGGUCGCAAGGCUGAAACUUAAAGGAAUUGGCGGGGGAGCACCACAACGGGAGGAGCGUGCGGUUUAAUUGGAUUCAACACCGUAAAACUCACCAGGGAAGACUGUUACAUGAAGGCCGAGAUGAAGACUCUGCUAGAUUUUCAGAGAGGUGGUGCAUGGCGUCAGUGACU